UGGGUCACCAUUCCCUUGGGAACAUGUGAUCUGAAGCAACAUCUUUUAAUGUGUGUGUGAGAGGAUAUGGGUGGGGAGGGAGAGGAGUAUGCAUUUGGGAAAAAAGUCACCAGUGUAAUGGGAGCUGAGCACCGGAGGGGGCCAAGGGAGGCAGAGAAGAGAAGCAGCUGGAAACUUCUUCUUGGAAGAGGGUAGAGAGAAUAAUGAGCAUCUGACUGAAGUAUGGGAUGUUACUCAAGAUUACAGAAGGCACUAUGGAUGCAAGAUAGACACCAGAAGAAAAUCUCUUUUUGUGGAAGAAAGUAGUAUUUUUCCUAUGGGAAGAGGUGAGGUGGUAAGUAGGUGAGUCCUGGGGAAGGAGAGAGAGACCAACAGGAAAGAGAUUCUAACAGGAUUAUGAGUCAAAGCAAGAAUACUCAAUUUCUGUGCCAUAAAAUCUGCCAAUAGAAUUAAAAGAAUAAUUCAAGAAUGUGAAAAUACUUGCUUGAUUUCUGCUUAAAUUGAUGAAAAGAUUAGCUUAUUGUUAGUUAACAGGAUAAAAUGUUGAGAUUGGCUUGAACAACUAGCCUGACUGAACUUAGCUGAGAACAACUAGAAAAACUGGCCAAAGUAUAAAAAGGCUUGUGUUUGAAGGCACUGGAGAGCUUCCAAGGCAGUGAAGAUUUUAGAACCAAGAUCAUGGAGAGAAAGAAAGCAAAGUGAGUCCUGUAUGCUGUGCCACUUUUCCACUGGGAAAUUUAGAAAUUAAAGCACCAGCUGAGAAUCUGAUCAGAAAGUGGCGGCUAGGAGACUGAGAAGAUGAACAGUCUUUAAGUUUUAUCACAGAACUUGAGGGACAAACAUUGGAAUUCACAAAGCCAGACACCAGAGUCUAUUCUGUAUGUUUUCAUGGCAUGACUAAACUAAGAUGUUGCAAGAAAAGUUUUUCUAUUUGAUGAAUAGGGUGGAGAUAGUGAUAUGGAAGCCUGAGAGCAGCUUUUGUUAUGUUGGUGAUAUUUUACUUUUUGAUCUAUAGGCUGCAUUACAAAAAUAUGUUCAUGCUGUGAUAAUUCAAUAAGUUUUACAGUUAAGGUUUAUAUACUUUUAUGUAAAUACAUUAACCUUGUCCUGAGUGUAUUAAAAAUAAGAUCAAUGAUAUAAAAUUUGACUGUCAAAAUAUUUAUAUAUAUAUUAAUAUCUGAUUAAAUUAUUCAUGUAUUUACUUGCUCUCUAUGAUUCAUUAUGAUGUUUAACUCCUUAUAAUCCCCACUGGAUCCUAUGUGGAUUACAGAAGAGUUACAUACAGUGAGGUAUGCUUGCCACUGCUGAAUCACAUGUUCUCCUUAUUUUAGUAGCUAUGCACUACAGUUUUUUUCUCUUAGGAAAAUACUGAAGUUUGUGUGUUUGGAUCCUGAGUUCUUUUCUUAUUAAUCUUGGAAUUUUAGGAAAUAUGAGAGUGAACAUUCUUAAUUGGGAGGAAGGAUUAGGAAAUGCAAUCUGGGAAUAUAAACCACUCAACUGAGUGCUUGCAAAGGAAAAGCAAGAGAAGAAGUACUUUCCCUCCCCAUCCCCAUCUCUCCCUUGAAAAAAUGACUUACGUUUGAAGAGUGUGGGAAGAGUAGUCAUGUAUGGAUGUGAGAGUUGGACCAAAAAGAAAACU
Non-coding RNA from Odocoileus virginianus texanus, 1639 nucleotides. The record is from RefSeq and is a predicted model, not a curated record. NCBI's taxonomy places the organism in Eukaryota, Metazoa, Chordata, Mammalia, Artiodactyla, Cervidae.